GCUGUGAUAUAGCAGGACAGCAGAAACUUGCAGAAACAACUGGUUUUGUUAAAGCUGAAAAGGAAUGGUUUUUUUCUCUCCUUUCUUGUAAAAGUGCUCACCUCGGUAGCAAUCACAUAUGGUCCACUGGACUUCAUCUUCUUGCCUGCAUCAUCACAUGAAGUGGCGUUAGAACUGGCCGGAUCUUUCCUCCAAAGAGAGGAGAAAACAAAGGGGAAGGAUGAGUGUAAGUGGCUCUUCUUAUCAGCAAAGAAGAGGAUUUGUUUUCACAGGCUAAACUGCUAAUGCUGAGUGACAUAAGGAAAGAGCUUGCAGGUGCAGGAACGCUGGAACAGAGAAGCAGGAUUUGCCCAGAGCAAUGAGGAAACACCGUAAGAAUCAGAAUUUGUGUUUAAUCUGACUGCCUUUGGGCUGCCAGCCUCUAUCUGAAACAUUAUGUGUGGCACAAGAAAUGUUUCAGUGAUCAUUUUAAACUGUUUUUUUCAGUCAUGAAUUUGUUCCCCUCAGAGCAGGUGGACAUUAAUAAGGAGAAUAUGGAUGUGGAGAUGAAAUGUUAAUGUGAACAGUAUUCCCACAUCAGCACUCUCUUGGGUCUCACAGGCGUUGUCAUGGUCUCAGAGUGCUUUCCUAAAGGAUGCUGUGCAAGCUACUGUGUGUCAGGAUAACACCCUUGUGCCAUUUAAGAAGAUUGGUUGCUGUCUCUCCAGCUUCAUUGGUGGUAGGAAAGGCAGUGAAAUAGGAGGAAAAAUUCGAUGAGCCUUGCUAUUCCUAAAGCUGUGGCUUGAAAGUACAGAAAAAUCUGUUUCACAGCUUUUUUUCCCAGGCAGUUUGAUUGGUUUUAUUGCAUACACGAUCUUCCUACUUUGUGUAGAAAGGAAAAUGUACAGUGGAAGAGGAAAUAUCUUAAAAAUUAGACAAACCCUACACACAGCCCAGGGGGCAAUCACAAAAUGUUUGCCAAGCUUUGUUGGUGCAGAGAGGUGUAUUCAAAAGAUACCUGGGUCUGCAUACAUGGGUUUGCACAGCAAAACAUGGGCACUUCUGAUUAGAGGUGAGAUCCUGGCAUGGGGCAAGGCAGUGGGAUUUUUGCCAGUGAUUUUAAUCAGAGCCAGAAUUUCACUCUUUGUCUACAAUCUUGUGUAAUCUCCCUUUGAAGUCACAUGAAUUUUUAACCAAUGUCUUGUAUAACACCAAAACAAUGCACUGCCCACCCAAUAUUUUCUGUUUUCCUAAACUGAAUGCUCCAAGUAUGUUUUCAAAAAACAGAGAUGAUACUGAAUUAAGAUUAGGAUUCUUCCCCCCUAUUUUGAAACAUGGAGUGUUUAUACAGCCA
Molecule: long non-coding RNA, 1333 nt
Organism: Pogoniulus pusillus (Red-fronted tinkerbird)
Lineage: Eukaryota; Metazoa; Chordata; Aves; Piciformes; Lybiidae
Exons: 3
Source: RefSeq, a predicted model, not a curated record